This 69-nucleotide transfer RNA is filed under the name Ictidomys tridecemlineatus (thirteen-lined ground squirrel). RNAcentral's name for it is "Spermophilus tridecemlineatus (thirteen-lined ground squirrel) tRNA". It matches the Rfam family "tRNA". From Rfam's summary of the family: Transfer RNA (tRNA) molecules are approximately 80 nucleotides in length. The record is from Rfam by way of RNAcentral. Lineage: Eukaryota; Metazoa; Chordata; Mammalia; Rodentia; Sciuridae. RNAcentral also lists the same sequence under 1 other name.
GGGGAUGUGGCUCAAAGGUGGAGUGCUAGUCUUGCAUGCUUGAGGCCCUGGGUUCAAUCCUCAGCACCA